RNAcentral lists this unclassified non-coding RNA (397 nucleotides) under fungal sp. RNAcentral describes it as "partial internal transcribed spacer region". The stretch from base 1 to 46 matches the Rfam family "Eukaryotic small subunit ribosomal RNA", at positions 1786 to 1831 of the family's 1831-position model. The record is from RNAcentral. Lineage: Eukaryota; Fungi.
AAGUCGUAACAAGGUUUCCGUAGGUGAACCUGCGGAAGGAUCAUUACAACGUAUCCACGUACAAACCAGUGAACUGUUCCCAACGGAAUGAGAUACAAAAGCAAUUUUGUAUUCGAGGUUGAUGGCAUGUCUGGUUCCUGCUGAUGGAGUUUCUGGGCUUUUGCCUCGAAACUAGGGCCUGACAUACCGCGAAAGCUUAUGGCUUUCGGACCUCAAGCUCUUCCGUUUGGUUGAUUACCGUCAGCAUGUAAAACCCUUUAUUAACCCUAUGUACCAUUUGAUCUGAUCUAUUCUGUCUGAAAACGCGUUCUUGUUGGCUUUAAGUCACGGACCGCGGCUCAGCAGGAGUUUGAUACGAAACAAAGAACAACUCUUAACAACGGAUAUCUUGGUUCCC